Hyla sarda is the source of this 385-nucleotide long non-coding RNA. RefSeq lists it as uncharacterized. The transcript has 4 exons. Lineage: Eukaryota; Metazoa; Chordata; Amphibia; Anura; Hylidae. The record is from RefSeq and is a predicted model, not a curated record.
UGGAGGGCCACAGUUUGAGACCACUGGCCUAGAAUCUGAGUAUGUUUACCAGUGUGGAGUCCACCAUGGCGCCCUAUUAAGCCCCUUCAACAUCAUUUGCUUGCAGAGCCGACCUGAGACCUGCAUUGUAGUCUUCCUAAUGACAUUUCCCGUUAACUAAUUGGAUCCAGACUCACGUCUGUCUGUCAAACGUGGCACUCCAUGGGACUGUUCAGUGAUGGUGAAGUUCUGCAACAUGAUACCUGGAAGGAUGUAUACAGGAAACAAUUCUUGUGAUGUAAUAGCUAAGCAGCACUAAUGCUCACAGGAGUCCAAAGAAGAGAUUAGCAUAUUGCAGAGAGGUCCUUGUUCAACUCUUUCCUCUCUAAUGAAGACAAAAUUCCCC